This 449-nucleotide ribosomal RNA is filed under the name uncultured bacterium. RNAcentral's name for it is "partial 16S ribosomal RNA". It matches the Rfam family "Bacterial small subunit ribosomal RNA", at positions 328 to 793 of the family's 1533-position model. The record is from RNAcentral.
UCGCCAGACUCCUACGGGAGGCAGCAGUGGGGAAUAUUGCACAAUGGGGGGAACCCUGAUGCAGCGACGCCGCGUGAGGGAAGAAGGUUUUUGGAUUGUAAACCUCUGUCCUUGGUAAAGAAGCAAGACGGUAGCCAAGGAGGAAGCCACGGCUAACUACGUGCCAGCAGCCGCGGUAAUACGUAGGUGGCGAGCGUUAUCCGGAAUGAUUGGGCGUAAAGGGUGCGCAGGCGGUCCUGCAAGUCUGGAGUGAAACGCAUGAGCUCAACUCAUGCAUGGCUUUGGAAACUGGAGGACUGGAGAGCAGGAGAGGGCGGUGGAACUCCAUGUGUAGCGGUAAAAUGCGUAGAUAUAUGGAAGAACACCAGUGGCGAAGGCGGCCGCCUGGCCUGUUGCUGACGCUGAGGCACGAAAGCGUGGGGAGCAAAUAGGAUUAGAUACCCGUGUAC